This 468-nucleotide ribosomal RNA is filed under the name uncultured bacterium. Its description in RNAcentral is "partial 16S ribosomal RNA". It matches the Rfam family "Bacterial small subunit ribosomal RNA", at positions 28 to 507 of the family's 1533-position model. The record is from RNAcentral.
GACGAACGCUGGCGGCGUGCUUAACACAUGCAAGUCGAACGGAAAGGCCCUGCUUUUGUGGGGUGCUCGAGUGGCGAACGGGUGAGUAACACGUGAGUAACCUGCCCUUGUCUUUGGGAUAACUUCAGGAAACUGGGGCUAAUACCGGAUAGGAGCUCCUGCUGCACGGUGGGGGUUGGAAAGUUUCGGCGGUUGGGGAUGGACUCGCGGCUUAUCAGCUUGUUGGUCGAGUAGUGGCUUACCAAGGCUUUGACGGGUAGCCGGCCUGAGAGGGUGACCGGCCACAUUGGGACUGAGAUACGGCCCAGACUCCUACGGGAGGCAGCAGUGGGGAAUAUUGCGCAAUGGGCGGGAGCCUGAUGCAGCAACGCCGCGUGCGGGAUGACGGCCUUCGGGUUGUAAACCGCUGUCGCCUGUGACGAAGCGUGAGUGACGGUAAUGGGUAAAGAAGCACCGGCUAACUACGUG